AUACGAAGGGUGCAAGCGUUGUUCGGAAUCACUGGGCUUAAAGCGCACGCAGGCGGAAAGGUAAGUGUCUUGUGAAAUCCCCCGACUCAACCGGGGAACUGCUUGGCAUACUGCCUUUCUUGAGGCAAGCAGGGGUGUAUGGAACUCUAGGUGGAGCGGUGAAAUGCGUAGAUAUCUAGAGGAACGCCAGCGGAGAAAUCGGUACACUGGGCUUGUUCUGACGCUGAGGUGCGAAAGCGUGGGUAGCGAACGGGAUUAGAUACCCCGGUAGUCCACGCCGUAAACGAUGUCUACUAGGUCGUGGAGGUUCUAACGCCUUCGCGGCCGAAGCAAAAGUGUUAAGUAGACCGCCUGGGGAGUACGGUCGCAAGAUUAAA
Molecule: ribosomal RNA, 377 nt
Filed under: uncultured bacterium
Lineage: Bacteria
Description: bacterial SSU rRNA
Rfam family: Bacterial small subunit ribosomal RNA
Source: RNAcentral